CAUGACCUGAGCCAAAGUCGGACACUUAACUGACUGAGCCACCCAGGUGCCCCAUACUUUUCCAGAUUUGCUUUGGCAGAGACAUUUCUUGACCAGUCAGCCUACUUUGAGCUUCUGGAUGUGACAGCAGAUGGAACCUGCUAUUAGGAUAUAUUUUCAGACAAGAAUAAAGCAUAUAUACAAUACAGAUCACUGCAUUCUUCAUUUUUUAAUCUUUCAAAGUGAUAUGUAUAUCUACCAGAGCAGCAAGAGGCCGCUUCAGACUAAGAGAGCCAAAAGACCAAAUGGAGGCAGACAUUAAUGUGCCCUUCCUUUAAUUCUCCAGGCAAAACAAGACAGGAUUCUGUGAUGGAUUAACCUGUAUGAAAUCAGCAUUGGCCCCUGGUUAUGGAUGUUUUUUGCAGCACCUGCACCUUAAUACCACCUCAAGAAGAAGGGUCAGUGGAGAAAGUUCUCUAGAAAACUCAAAUAAAAUAGAUUUGUAUCCUCAA
Felis catus (domestic cat) is the source of this 491-nucleotide long non-coding RNA. RefSeq lists it as uncharacterized. The transcript has 4 exons. The record is from RefSeq and is a predicted model, not a curated record. Lineage: Eukaryota; Metazoa; Chordata; Mammalia; Carnivora; Felidae.